This 299-nucleotide unclassified non-coding RNA is filed under the name plant metagenome. Its description in RNAcentral is "partial contains small subunit ribosomal RNA, internal transcribed spacer 1, and 5.8S ribosomal RNA". The record is from RNAcentral.
UUUCCGUAGGUGAACCUGCGGAAGGAUCAUUAUCGAAUUUCGAGGGGAAGGAAGAUGAGGAGUGGAGACUGUCGCUGGCCUUCCCGCCUGGGAGGCAUGUGCACGCCUUGCUCUUCGUUGACCUUUCUCUUACUCUCACACCUGUGCACCCAUUGUAGGUCCUCGAAAGAGGAUCUAUGUUUUUAUCAUCACACGCAUCGUAUGUCCAUAGAAUGUAACAUGAUCGUCGAUCGACCUCGCGGUCGGGUGGCGGUCUAAAUAAAUAAAUACAACUUUCAGCAACGGAUCUCUUGGCUCUC